AGAGAUGUGUGAUGACGCAUAUCAAUAAGCGGAGGAAAAGAAACUAACAAGGAUUCCCUUAGUAACGGCGAGUGAAGCGGGAAGAGCUCAAAUUUGAAAUCUUCAAGGUUCUACCUUGACGAAUUGUAGUUUAAAGAAGUGUUUUCUGUUAGUGGAGUGGCAAAAGUUCUUUGGAAUAGGACAUCAUAGAGGGUGAGAAUCCCGUAUUUGGUCAUUCCUUCUAGCUUUGUGAUACACUUUCAAAGAGUCGGAUUGUUUGGGAAUGCAGUCCAAAAUGGGUGGUAAAUUUCAUCUAAAGCUAAAUAUUGGCGAGAGACCGAUAGCGAACAAGUACCGUGAGGGAAAGAUGAAAAGAACUUUGAAAAGAGAGUUAAACAGUACGUGAAAUUGUCAAAAGGGAAGCGUUUGACACCAGUGUUGUUUUUCCGAAAAUCAAUUACGAAUGUUUUAUUUUUGAGGAGUUAUGACUUCAUCGGCUUGCUCCUUUCUUUAUGAAACUUUCUUAAUGCACUUUUCGGUUAACAAGUCAACAUCAAUUUCUUUUGUUGUAAAAGAGUAUUGGGAAGGUGGCUUUCUUUUCGGAGAAAGUGUUUAUAGCCCUUUACUUCUGCAAUCGGAGAGAUUGAGGUCUGCAGCGUAGAUCCUUCGGGGUUAGAUACAUUUGUGCUAAGUUAUAGCUUUUCAUAGACAACUUGUUGAUUAUGAUUAGUCUUGUAGCUUACUCGCUUAUGCUAUUUUACCUACGCUUAGGAUGUUGAAGAUGUAGCACAUCAU
This 774-nucleotide ribosomal RNA is filed under the name uncultured Neocallimastigales. RNAcentral describes it as "partial large subunit ribosomal RNA". It matches the Rfam family "Eukaryotic large subunit ribosomal RNA", at positions 23 to 635 of the family's 3401-position model. Lineage: Eukaryota; Fungi; Neocallimastigomycota; Neocallimastigomycetes; Neocallimastigales. The record is from RNAcentral.